AGAACGAACGCUGGCGGCAUGCCUAACACAUGCAAGUCGAACGUGAUCCAGGCUUCGGCCUGGUGAAAGUGGCAGACGGGUGAGUAACGCGUGGGAACCUGCCCUGUGGUAGGGAAUAACCGUGGGAAACUGCGGCUAAUACCCUAUGAGUCCUUCGGGAGAAAGAUUUAUCGCCAUAGGAGGGGCCCGCGUCGGAUUAGGUAGUUGGUGGGGUAACGGCCUACCAAGCCUUCGAUCCGUAGCUGGUCUGAGAGGAUGAUCAGCCACACUGGGACUGAGAUACGGCCCAGACUCCUACGGGAGGCAGCAGUGGGAAUAUUGGACAAUGGGGGCAACCCUGAUCCAGCAAUGCCGCGUGGAUGAUGAAGGCCUUCGGGUUGUAAAGUCCGUUUCGGCGGGGAAGAUGAUGACGGUACCCGCAGAAGAAGCCCCGGCUAACUUCGUGCCAGCAGCCGC
Molecule: ribosomal RNA, 456 nt
Filed under: uncultured bacterium
Lineage: Bacteria
Description: SSU rRNA
Rfam family: Bacterial small subunit ribosomal RNA
Source: RNAcentral